CGGGACACGUGGUAUCCUGUCUGAAUAUGGGGGGACCAUCCUCCAAGGCUAAAUACUCCUGACUGACCGAUAGUGAACCAGUACCGUGAGGGAAAGGCGAAAAGAACCCCGGCGAGGGGAGUGAAAAAGAACCUGAAACCGUGUACGUACAAGCAGUGGGAGCCUCUUAAUGGGGUGACUGCGUACCUUUUGUAUAAUGGGUCAGCGACUUAUAUUCUGUAGCAAGGUUAACCGAAUAGGGGAGCCGAAGGGAAACCGAGUCUUAACUGGGCGUUAAGUUGCAGGGUAUAGACCCGAAACCCGGUGAUCUAGCCAUGGGCAGGUUGAAGGUUGGGUAACACUAACUGGAGGACCGAACCGACUAAUGUUGAAAAAUUAGCGGAUGACUUGUGGCUGGGGGUGAAAGGCCAAUCAAACCGGGAGAUAGCUGGUUCUCCCCGAAAGCUAUUUAGGUAGCGCCUCGUGAAUUCAUCUCCGGGGGUAGAGCACUGUUUCGGCAAGGGGGUCAUCCCGACUUACCAACCCGAUGCAAACUGCGAAUACCGGAGAAUGUUAUCACGGGAGACACACGGCGGGUGCUAACGUCCGUCGUGAAGAGGGAAACAACCCAGACCGCCAGCUAAGGUCCCAAAGUCAUGGUUAAGUGGGAAACGAUGUGGGAAGGCCCAGACAGCCAGGAUGUUGGCUUAGAAGCAGCCAUCAUUUAAAGAAAGCGUAAUAGCUCACUGGUCGAGUCGGCCUGCGCGGAAGAUGUAACGGGGCUAAACCAUGCACCGAAGCUGCGGCAGCGACACUAUGUGUUGUUGGGUAGGGGAGCGUUCUGUAAGCCUGCGAAGGUGUACUGUGAGGUAUGCUGGAGGUAUCAGAAGUGCGAAUGCUGACAUAAGUAACGAUAAAGCGGGUGAAAAGCCCGCUCGCCGGAAGACCAAGGGUUCCUGUCCAACGUUAAUCGGGGCAGGGUGAGUCGACCCCUAAGGCGAGGCCGAAAGGCGUAGUCGAUGGGAAACAGGUUAAUAUUCCUGUACUUGGUGUUACUGCGAAGGGGGGACGGAGAAGGCUAUGUUGGCCGGGCGACGGUUGUC
Molecule: ribosomal RNA, 1082 nt
Filed under: Escherichia coli
Lineage: Bacteria; Pseudomonadati; Pseudomonadota; Gammaproteobacteria; Enterobacterales; Enterobacteriaceae
Description: partial 23S ribosomal RNA
Rfam family: Bacterial large subunit ribosomal RNA
Source: RNAcentral